Acanthosepion pharaonis is the source of this 114-nucleotide non-coding RNA. Lineage: Eukaryota; Metazoa; Mollusca; Cephalopoda; Sepiida; Sepiidae. The record is from the annotation of a GenBank genome assembly.
UUACGUCCAUACGAUGUUGAAACACCUGUUCCCGUAGGAUUACCGAAGUUCAGUAAAGUCGACCUUAGUCAAUACUAAGAUGGGUGAUCUCUUGAGAAUACCAGGUGCUGUAAG